This 483-nucleotide ribosomal RNA is filed under the name uncultured bacterium. RNAcentral describes it as "bacterial SSU rRNA". It matches the Rfam family "Bacterial small subunit ribosomal RNA", at positions 29 to 507 of the family's 1533-position model. The record is from RNAcentral.
AUUGAACGCUGGCGGCAUGCUUUACACAUGCAAGUCGAACGGUAACAGGGAGCUUGCUCCGCUGACGAGUGGCGAACGGGUGAGUAAUGCAUCGGAACGUACCCAGUCGUGGGGGAUAACGUAGCGAAAGUUACGCUAAUACCGCAUACGUCCUGAGGGAGAAAGCGGGGGACCGUAAGGCCUCGCGCGAUUGGAGCGGCCGAUGUCGGAUUAGCUAGUUGGUAGGGUAAAGGCCUACCAAGGCGACGAUCCGUAGCUGGUCUGAGAGGACGAUCAGCCACACUGGGACUGAGACACGGCCCAGACUCCUACGGGAGGCAGCAGUGGGGAAUAUUGGACAAUGGGGGAAACCCUGAUCCAGCGACGCCGCGUGGGUGAAGAAGGCCUGCGGGUUGUAAAGCCCUUUCGGUAGGGACGAAAGCUCUCGACCUAACACGUCGGGAGGAUGACUUAACCUACAAAGAAGCACCGGCUAACUCUGUG